Long non-coding RNA from Marmota monax (woodchuck), 4098 nucleotides. RefSeq lists it as uncharacterized. The record is from RefSeq and is a predicted model, not a curated record. The transcript is spliced from 3 exons. NCBI's taxonomy places the organism in Eukaryota, Metazoa, Chordata, Mammalia, Rodentia, Sciuridae.
UGUUUUGAAAAUCUUGCUGAUUUGCCAAACAAACCUCCAGUCUGAUCUCUUUCUUUUGUAAGUUACAUAAGUCGUGCUGUGUGAACUAACAUCUUGUCACUCAUUGUCCUAAAGCAAGAGCCAAACUGGUGAGAAGCCACCUACUGUUGAAUAUCAAGCCUCUGCCAAAAAGGCAACAGCGACAUGCUGUUCUGCUCUGCCCUGAGUGAUCAAACAAUUCGGAGAGCAAACAGGAACUCCAGCAGCAGGAAUCAAAGGCCUUCCCAGCCAGAGUGGAGAGAAGCAAGGGAGAGGUCUGAGUUUAAGGUGAGAGUCCUCCUCUACCAUGUGUUCUACCACAGACCUAAAGCAAAAGGACUGAGCAUCCAUGGACUGAAACCUCUGAAUCCAUGAGCCAAAAGAAGCCUUUUCUCUUUCUAAAUUGAUUAUCUCAGGGUUUUUAUGUUGGAGUUGAAAUAACAAGCUUGGUACUAUCAAGAUAUGCCAAUUCAAACAAAAUGAGAAGAGAUCAAAUAAAUAAUAGCCAACUAGGAUAUGUGGAGAUGUUUAUUGAGUUGCAUCAUAUUCUUGUUUUCUGUUGAUGUUCUUCGCCCUGUUUGUCCUUGAAGAUGAGGGUAAUCUUUCAGGUCAUCCAGUACAGAGACAGCCUGUGGAUCAUUGCGUCUUAAGAAAUAAAGGACCUUAGAGAUCACAGCCUUCCAAUCUAUGUUACCUGUAUUCGGAUAAUCUAGAAUCAAAAUCUAGCCUCUGCCUGAACUCUUAAGUUUAUGAGGCUGACAGCUACAUCAUUUUCUGAACUGUUCCAAAUUAUGGAAGCAUUUUAUUUAAGCUACAGGAUGUUCAGUGGAAUUUUUUGCUGUUGUCUACAGAUGCCCACGAGUUGGAAAACAAAACAUUCUAAAUUAAGAAGGAGCUAGACUUGCAAAUGAGGUGAUCUUAAACUGGGUCUGCCUGAACUAGCUAUCGCUCACUUCAGGCAUAGCAAGGUUGAGUGACUUCAGGGAAGAUAUAACUUUGGGGAAUAUUUUCUGUGUGCCAUAGUGUGAGAGUCCAUCUUUACCUCCCUACGCUAAGUACAAAGGAGGAUCCGGCUAAAACUUCAUGUUAGUCAGUUUUCCAUUGCUAUAACAAAUACCUGAGACAAACAACAUAUAGAGGAAAGGUUUAUUUUGACUCACAGCAAUGGAAGUUUCAGUUGAUAAUUGGUUGGAGCUGUUGCUUGGGACUGGUGGUGGCACAUCAUGUCAAGAAUGUAUGUUGGAAUAAAACUGCUCAUCUCAUGACUAGAAGUGAAAAAGAGAGGAAGAGACAGAGAUCUCACCAUUCCCUUCAAAGGUACACCCCCAAUAACCUAAAUGCCUCCUACCUCUUAAUGAUAUACCACCUCCAACAGCACCACCCUGGUGAACAAUCUUUCACCACAUGAACCUUUGGAAGAAACUUAAAAUUCAAACUAUUCACAAAACCUGACAUGUAAUCCAAAGGUUUCACCAAAAAACUAUCAGAACUAAUAAAUUUAGCAAAGUUACAGGAUACAAAAUGAACAUGCAAAAAAUCAGUAGUAUUUCUUUAUGUCAAGAGCAAAUUUUGUGAAAUGGAAAUCCAGAAAACAAUUCUAUUUUCAAUAACUACAACAAUAAAAACAACUAGAACUCAAUUUAACCAAAGAGGUGAAAGAUCUCUACAAUGAAAACUAUAAAACAUUGAUGGAACUAAUUGAAGAGGAGAUUUUAAAAAAUGGAAAGACAUCAUGUGCUCAUGGAUUGAAAGUGACAGUAUUUUUUAAAUGCCCAUAUCACCCAAAGUGAUCCACAGAGAAAAUGCAAUCCCUAUCAAAGUUUCAAUGAAAUUUUUCACAGAACUAGAAAAAAAUCCUAAAAUUUGUAUGAAACCAUAAAAAUCCCUGACGUUACUGAACUUCAAUAUAUACUAAAAAGCAAUAGUCAUUAAAAUAGCACGACACAUGGAACAGAAUAGACAGUCUAGAUAUAGACUCACACAUUGACAGCCAACUGAUUUUUAACAAAGGUUUUAAGAACAUUCAUUGGAAAAAGGACAGUAAUUUCAAUAAAUAGUGCUGAGAAAAUUUAAUAGUCACAUGCAGAAGGAAGAAUGUAGGCCUCUAUCUCUCACCACUCACAAAAAUCAACUCAAAAUAGAUUAACAAUUUAAAUGUAAGACCUGAAUCUAUGAAACUACUAGAAAAAAACAGUUAAAAUGCUUUAGAAUAUUGGAUAGGCAAGGUUUUAUGGAUAAAACCCUGAAAGCACAGGAAACAAAAAAUUAGACAAAUGGGUUAUAGGAAGCUAAAAAGAACAGCAAAAGAAACAAUUAGGAUGAAGAGACAACCUACAGAAUUGGGGAAAACAUUUGCAACAUGUACAUCUGACAAGAUAUCAAUGCACAGAACGUAAAGGGAAUGCAAAAAUGCAAAUGAAAAAAAUUCCACAAAUCACCUGAUUUAAAGAUGGACCUAAGCAGACAUUUCUCUAAAGAAGAGAUGCAAGUGGCCAAUAAGUGUUUGAAAAAAUACUCAGCAUCAUGGAAAUACUCAGCAUCAGGGAAAUGCAAAUCAAAACUACAAUGGGCUAUCACCUCACCCCAGCAAAAUGGCUAUUAUCAAAGACUAAAUAUAACAAGUGCAGAUGAUAAUGUAGAGAAAAUGGAAGACUUUCACACUCUUAAUAGGAAUAUAAAUUAGUAUAGCCAUUAUGGAGAAAGCAUAGUCUUCUCAAAAAACUUAAAAAAAAUACUAUAUGAUUCAAAAUUCCACUACUGGGUUUAUAUCUCCAAAGGAAAUAAAAUCAGGACUGGUAUAGGUCAGUUGCUCGCGUACUUGCCUAGUGUACACAAGGCCCUGGUUCAAUCCCCAGCAUCACCAAAAUAAAUAAAUAAACAAACAAACAAAUAAAACAAUAGCCCAAAAUGGAAACAACGUAAGCAUCCAUCAACUGAUAAACAGAUGAAGAAAGUGUGGUGUGUAUAUAUAUAUAUACAAUGGAAUAAUACAAGCUAUAAAAAAGGAAUGAAAUUCUUUCAUGCGUAACAAUAUGGAUGGAGCUAGAGAACAUCAUGUUAAGUGAAAUAAGCCAGGGACAGAAAGACGAGUGUUGCACGUUCUCACGUACAGGUGGGGGUCUUAAAAAGUUGAUCUCAUAGAAAGAUUGAAUGUUAAUGACUAGAGACUGGAAGGGCAGGGAAAGAUGGGGUGGAGAUGGGCUGAUCAAAGAGUACAAAGUUACCGUUAGAAAUGUAUAAGAGAUUCUGGUGUGCCCUGGCACAACAGAGUAAGUACUGAUAACAAUAAUGUACUGUAUAUUUCAAAAUGCUAGAAAAUUUUUGAAAAUUUUACCAUAAAGAAAAGAUAAAUGCUUGAGAUAAAUGUGUUUAACCUGAUUUAAACAUUAUACAAUGUGCAUAUAUAUAUUGUAACAACACAUGUACCCCAUUACUGUGUAUCAUUUAUGUAGAUAACAUAUACAUAUAUUAUAUUUCAGUUAAGAUAAGUUUAAUUAAUAAAAAUGGUACCUGAUAUGUAUUGGUCAAGCUCUGGACAUUUGGAAACAGGACACUUGAGUUACUCUUAAACAGUUUGCUGGUGACAGGCUGUGGGUGGAGCUGCCCUUGCUGGUGGCAGUGGGAAGAAAAACUCUGGGAAUGAGCUGCACUUGUUCCAACUGUAGACAGAUACAUGUCCUUGCCAGUGCCUAGACCUGAAUCUCAUUGGGGGAAACUGCAGAGAGGGCAGCUUGAAAGGGUCCAGUCCAAAAGGACUGCAUAAAGGGCAGUAAGAUCCCACCAGGUGGGCCACAGGAAGCUCAGAGUAGUCACAAGCAGCCAGCUGGAGAUGUGAUCUUGCUCAAGUUGACCUACAUUUGGCAAAUCCUCAGGAAGUUUGUCAAAACAUCAGUGAGAGAAACCAUCCCUGGGAGAGCCUUGGUAGGGCUCCACCCACCCCAUACGACUGAGCCAUUUCUGCUGAGUCCUCCCUCUGUACUGGGUUUGUCCCUGGAGCCAUCAAAUGGAGCACAGAGGUGGAGGGAGGACAGAGGGGUACAAUCCCUCAGGUGGUUCAGAUUGCAGCCAGAUGCAGGGGAA